This 253-nucleotide ribosomal RNA is filed under the name uncultured prokaryote. RNAcentral's name for it is "partial 16S ribosomal RNA". It matches the Rfam family "Bacterial small subunit ribosomal RNA", at positions 525 to 777 of the family's 1533-position model. The record is from RNAcentral.
ACGAAGGACCCGAGCGUUAUCCGGAUUUAUUGGGUUUAAAGGGUGCGUAGGCGGCAUGGCAAGUCGGGAGUGAAAGCCCGGGGCUCAACCCCGGAACGGCUUUCGAAACUGCCAAGCUAGAGUACGGAAGGGGCAACUGGAAUUCCCAGUGUAGCGGUGAAAUGCGUAGAUAUUGGGAAGAACACCGGAGGCGAAGGCGGGUUGCUGGGCCGAUACUGACGCUGAGGCGCGAAAGCCAGGGGAGCAAACAGGA